UAUUACUUUUUUGUAAUAUUGACAGAAUAUAUUCCCACACAAGUCAUGCUAGUCAUGCCUAGCGACACUUUAAAUACAUUUCUUUAACCUUCAGCGAACACCGAUCCGAGCACGAGAGGAUGGCACAAGUAAGAUAUCCAAAUGAAAAUCAAUGUUGGCAACUUGGACAUCAAAAUCGAUACCUACACGUUCAAUGUCAGCAGCUACAGCCGCAGGUGAAACCCCAUAAGCCAUUGGGGUCCACUAAACGAAGUGGUCUACGGGACAUUAUUGUUGGUGGCAAGUAUCGUCUGUUGAGUCCAAUAGGCAGUGGAUCCUUUGGGGAGCUAUACCGUGCCUCUGGUCUUCAGUGCGGAGAGGAGGUGGCUGUAAAACUAGAAAGCAGUUCCGUCAAGUACCCACAGCUGCCGCGCGAAGCAAAAAUAUACAAUAUACUUCGAGGUGGCGUUGGCUUUCCGCAUAUUCGUUAUUUCGGCACCGAGGGCAUAUAUAAUGUGCUGGUUCUAGAUUUAUUAGGUCCUACCUUAGAGGAUCUGCUAAACUUUUGUGCGCGAAACUUUAGCUUAAAGACGACACUGAUGCUGGCGGAUCAAAUACUGGCUCGUGUGGAGUACCUGCAUAUGAACUGUCUGUUGCAUCGAGAUAUCAAGCCAGAAAACUUUCUAAUGGGUUUAGGCAGUCAGCGAACUCGUGUUUUCAUGAUUGACUUUGGUUUGGCCAAAAAAUACUAUCGUCCCAGCACCCGUACACAUAUCAACUACUAUGAGCGUCAUGAGCUCAUAGGUACAGCUCGAUACGCCUCGGUACAUGCCCAUUAUGCAGAGCAGGGACGUCGUGAUGACUUGGAGUCCGUGGGCUAUCUGCUGCUCUACUUUUUGCGUGGUCGCCUUCCUUGGCAGGGCAUCAAUGCCGCGACACGAAUACAAAAGUACGAGAGAAUUGCCGAGAGCAAGUCAACGCUGCCAUUAAAUAUAUUAUGUUCGGGAGUACCCACCGAAUUCUACUUGUAUAUGAAGUACUGUCGCAGCCUACACUUUACCGAGCAGCCGGACUACGUUUAUUUGCGACAGUUAUUUAAGGUGUUGUUCCGAAAUCAUUUUCUGCUCUAUGACUAUCUCUACGAUUGGGUGGACAUUAAUUUGGAGAUGGCGCAUAAUAAACGCAUAAUGCCACAGCAGCGUGGUAAAGAUCGAAAUCAAGAGGAGGAUGUGGAAGAGGUGCAGAAAUCGGAUUCGCGUCGUCUUGUCAAAAAAAAACGCCACCACGAGCAAAAGCGACAGAAACAGUAAUCGGAGCACCUGGUAGAACGAUGCGUUAUCCGUUAAUUGACUGCACCAUAACUAUAUUUGGCAUGCAUUUAUCAUUUUUAUGUGUUUGUAAGAAUGUUUAUAGAGGUGUAAGUGUGGGAGUGUAUAUCCUUUGUUCUUCAAAUCAAUUCCCUAUGGCAUAAUUGUUCCAACCACACUAAACCGUGAACCUUUUAGCUUAUUAACGAGAGAGGGGCUAAGCCUUAUCAAACAAAAAAUCAAUAGCUUUUGUAUUCAAAACUAAUUUAAACUGGUUCACUUUGAUAAGGAAUGGGCUAUCUCUGGAUUACAACUUGGUUUAAUAUAAGGCCAAUUUCAUUCGAUUGAAACGAAUGAACAAUCAGAAAA
This is a non-coding RNA of Drosophila virilis, 1655 nucleotides long. The record is from RefSeq and is a predicted model, not a curated record. Lineage: Eukaryota; Metazoa; Arthropoda; Insecta; Diptera; Drosophilidae.